AAGUCGUAACAAGGUUUCCGUAGGUGAACCUGCGGAAGGAUCAUUACCAAUCCACCUUUUAUAAACAACUGUGAACUGUUAUUGUCCUUGGGUGACAUCUGGAUGUAGCAAUACGUCCUUUGCCACCCAAACAAUUUCAAACACCUUUCAUAAACAUUACCUGUUGAACAACUUCUUUGUGACCUUCCACGGUUCAAAGAUUAAAAUAAUGAAUACAACUUUUAACGGUGGAUCUCUUGGCUCAU
Molecule: unclassified non-coding RNA, 245 nt
Filed under: fungal sp.
Lineage: Eukaryota; Fungi
Also listed under: 1 other name
Description: partial internal transcribed spacer region
Rfam family: Eukaryotic small subunit ribosomal RNA (bases 1-46)
Source: RNAcentral